GAUCUCUCAGAACGCCCACUGGAGUCCCCAGGCCGCUCCCGUUGCCUCGGCCAAAAGAUGAGUCUCAACCUCCCAUCCCCUCUCUCUCCUCAGGAUGUUCUUGAAUCGAAGAACAGCACCAUCCAGGACCUGCAGUAUGAGCUGGCCCGGGUCUGUAAGGCCCAUAACGACCUGCCCUGUCUCCACAGGCCCAUAACGACCUGCCCUGUCUCCACAGGCCCAUAACGACCUGCUGCGCACGUAUGAGGCAAAGCUGCUGGCCUUCGGGAUCCCUCUGGACAACGUGGGCUUCACGCCCUUGGAAACAGCUGUGAUCGGACAGACGCUGGGCCAGGGCCCCGCAGGACUGGUGGGCACCCCGACGUAGCUGCCCCCCUGGGGGGCCACAGCCCAGAGAACCAGCCUAGGAACACUCUUGGGAUGACACCCCUUAUUACACCAAGGACAGCAAGUUUUUUAGAUUUUAUCAUCAGCAAAUGAAAGCUUUUCACAUGUU
Molecule: small RNA, 496 nt
Filed under: Pan troglodytes (chimpanzee)
Lineage: Eukaryota; Metazoa; Chordata; Mammalia; Primates; Hominidae
Description: retained intron
Source: RNAcentral